CAAUAGCGUAUAUUAAAGCUGUUGCGGUUAAAAAGCUCGUAGUUGGAUUUCUGUCAAGUACAACUGGUCCGCCCUCCGGGUGAGCACAUAGUUUGGUCUUGGCAUCUUGCUGGAAGCUGUUGCUGCACUUGGCUGUGUGGCGCAGUGUUCAGCACUUUCACUUUGAGGAAAUUGGAGUGUUUCAAGCAGGCACAUGCCUUUGGACACAGUAGCAUGGAAUAAUUAGAUUGGGCUUUUGCUCCAAUUUGUCGGUUUCUGGAGCUGAGGUGAGUAUUAAUGGGGAUUGUUGGGGGCAUCCGAAUUUAGCCGUCAGAGGUGAAAUUCUUGGAUCUGCUAAAGACGGACAACUGCGAAAGCGUUUGCCCAGGAUGUUUUCAUUGA
RNAcentral lists this ribosomal RNA (381 nucleotides) under uncultured eukaryote. Its description in RNAcentral is "partial 18S ribosomal RNA". It matches the Rfam family "Eukaryotic small subunit ribosomal RNA", at positions 592 to 976 of the family's 1831-position model. The record is from RNAcentral.